This 490-nucleotide ribosomal RNA is filed under the name uncultured bacterium. RNAcentral's name for it is "bacterial SSU rRNA". It matches the Rfam family "Bacterial small subunit ribosomal RNA", at positions 9 to 526 of the family's 1533-position model. The record is from RNAcentral.
GAGUUUGAUCCUGGCUCAGGAUGAACGCUGGCGGCGUGCCUAACACAUGCAAGUUGAGCGAUUUACUUCGGUAAAGAGCGGCGGACGGGUGAGUAACGCGUGGGUAACCUGCCUCAUACACAUGGAUAACAUACCGAAAGGUAUGCUAAUACAGGAUAAUAUAAGAGAUUCACAUGGAUUUCUUAUCAAAGCUCCGGCGGUAUGAGAUGGACCCGCGUCUGAUUAGCUAGUUGGUAAGGUAAUGGCUUACCAAGGCGACGAUCAGUAGCCGACCUGAGAGGGUGAUCGGCCACAUUGGAACUGAGACACGGUCCAAACUCCUACGGGAGGCAGCAGUGGGGAAUAUUGCACAAUGGGCGAAAGCCUGAUGCAGCAACGCCGCGUGAGUGAUGAAGGCCUUCGGGUCGUAAAACUCUGUCCUCAAGGAAGAUAAUGACGGUACUUGAGGAGGAAGCCCCGGCUAACUACGUGCCAGCAGCCGCGGUAAUAC